RNAcentral lists this ribosomal RNA (410 nucleotides) under uncultured Glomus. RNAcentral's name for it is "SSU rRNA". It matches the Rfam family "Eukaryotic small subunit ribosomal RNA", at positions 569 to 985 of the family's 1831-position model. Lineage: Eukaryota; Fungi; Glomeromycota; Glomeromycetes; Glomerales; Glomeraceae. The record is from RNAcentral.
AGCAGCCGCGGUAAUUCCAGCUCCAAUAGCGUAUAUUAAAGUUGUUGCAGUUAAAAAGCUCGUAGUUGAAUUUCGGGAUUAGUAGGUUGGUCGUGCCUCUGGUAUGUACUCGCCUUACUGGUUCCUCCUUCUUGAAGAACUGUAAUGCCAUUAAUUUGGUGUUGCAGGGAAACAGGACUGUUACUUUGAAAAAUUAGAGUGUUUAAAGCAGGCCAUUGCCUGAAUACAUUAGCAUGGAAUAAUGAAAUAGGACGUUGAUCCUAUUUUGUUGGUUUCUAGGAUUGACGUAAUGAUUAAUAGGGAUAGUUGGGGGCAUUAGUAUUCAAUUGUCAGAGGUGAAAUUCUUGGAUUUAUUGAAGACUAACUACUGCGAAAGCAUUUGCCAAGGAUGUUUUCAUUAAUCAAGAACG